UGGGGUCACCAAGGUGAUUUCACUGAGUGGGAAGAACCUACCUGUGCCACAGGCUGGCCAAGGUGAUUAUCAGUGUAAGAUAGGCACUAACACAGUCCCAGCUAUCAGACAGAAUGAUAGUGCCAUAGACUGCCAGAGCCACGCUUAUGUGUAUACAGCCAUCACAGGCCAGGAG
Molecule: long non-coding RNA, 175 nt
Organism: Lingula anatina
Lineage: Eukaryota; Metazoa; Brachiopoda; Lingulata; Lingulida; Lingulidae
Source: RefSeq, a predicted model, not a curated record